GAUCUGAACACCCCCACACGUGGAUCUCAUCACCCUCACAGGUGAAACUGACCACUCCCACGGGUGGACUUAGUCACCCUGCAGGCCUGCCGGAGAUCAGAGGCCUAGAUUAUUGAAGGAGACGCCUUUGAGAUGCCCAAGCCGUUGCCGUGACAACCCCCAGAGGGCGGGAGAUGGCGAGGGAGGCGGCGGCUGACUGUUGGAUGGCGAGGGCUCUUCAGGCCGGAGUGGGGAUAAUCCCAACCCCGGGGCAGCUGAGUGGAGGGCUCCCUGCACAAGAGGCUCUCGGCUCACCUGCAGGACCACCCCCGUCCACAGAGGCCUUGGCGAGCAGCCGGGGUGCUCAGGGCCAUACGGCUCAACCAUGACACUUUUCUUAAAGCUGGUGAAAGAGCAGUGUAGGUGAAAUUCCCCAGCUUUGGCAGCUAGCUGCUAGUUAUCAUUCACGACCGUGGUUCCCGUGCAGUGCCAAGAGCUCAAGCUCUGCCUCAGAGCCACCUGUGUUGAACCUCAGUCCAGCUGUGUGACUUGGGCUGUCACUCAACCUCUCUGAGUCUUGCGCUGACAACAUCUGCCUCGCUGGUUUGCUGCUGUCCCAAGAGGACCUCCCAGAGGUCAAGCGCGUGGGCUCUGGAGCCACAGCAUCAGGGUUUCGACUCCAGCUCUGCCACUCUCGAGCUGUGUGACCUUGGGCAAUCACCCACCCUUCUGAGCCUCCAUUUCCUCAUCUGAAAAAUGGAGAUCAAGGUACCCAACUCAAAUGCAUUGAUAUACGUGAGGCACAGAUGCAGCCGAUAAAUGUUUAUUAUCUAAUAUCCUCAGGACCAACAGACAUGGAGAGGACUGCUGUCCCCAGUCUACAUACCAAAAGGAAUCCGAGGCCUCCCAAUGGUUAGACACCCCUUCCGAGGGCUAUCUCCACCCUGGAAUUUACAUCCCAGCUUGUUUGAGUGCAAAGCUGGCGUUGGCUCCUCUGUGAACCAUCGUAGUUCUACAGGGAACAAAACAUCACACACACAGUACACACACACACACACACACACACACAC
Long non-coding RNA from Bos taurus (domestic cattle), 1049 nucleotides. NCBI's taxonomy places the organism in Eukaryota, Metazoa, Chordata, Mammalia, Artiodactyla, Bovidae. The record is from Ensembl.